RNAcentral lists this long non-coding RNA (801 nucleotides) under Lathyrus oleraceus (garden pea). Its description in RNAcentral is "Pisum sativum (pea) long non-coding RNA (PSAT_LNC008780)". The record is from RNAcentral. Lineage: Eukaryota; Viridiplantae; Streptophyta; Magnoliopsida; Fabales; Fabaceae.
UUUUUUUUUCCGGUAGACGCGGAUAUUUCUACACACUUUUUCUUUUCUUUUUGUUGCACUUGCCCUUUUUCAAAAACAAAUCUAAGGAUCACCACCCCAAACUUAUCUUUUUGCACGAAUUUUACACUACAACAGUCAUGCCGAGCGAAGGUAGGAAGUGUUUGGAUUAUGGUUAACAUGACGGUUUACACAAACAAGGGGGUACAGACUCAACGGGGUUAACAACGGAUAAAUACAACAUUAUGGAUGGCUAGAAAGGCUAAAAGGGUGAAAACAAACAAUGUGCCUCAAUGUGCGUCUUUGUAUUGUGCUGUAUCAGUAGAACUUACGCAAAAUUAGAGAGAUAAAGUCAUACCUGAAUGCGCUCUUUUGUGUUUGAUUAUGUUGAAAUCUCACCAUGUUGGAUAAGCUUGCAGGCUCCAAACCACUCUUUAUGACAAACAACUUCUUUUUCAGCUUGGGUUUACCUUCCCCUCUUUCGGUCUAAAUUUACCAAGUUACGUCCAACAUUUUCUUUCUCAACUGUAUCAACUUCCAAGUUGCCUCGGGAGCAAAUCCGGGGUUGCAUCUUUCCCUCACUGGUCAUUAGUCCAUCAUUUAUCUAGUAGAAUCCACUUUUAUCUGUAACUUAAGGAAAUAAAACAGACACACAAAGACAAAACAAAGUAACAAAGCAAACAAACACAACUAAAAAUAAAAUACAAAACAAGAAAACCCCCCCACACUUGAACCAAACAUUGUCCGCAAUGUUUAUUGUCAAGAUAAGAGGGGUAUUCACAAUGUUUACUGAGGAGGUGGGGG